UGGAGAAGAGACAGAUGCAGCAACGCCGCGGGAGUGAUGAAGGCCUUCGGGUCGUAAAACUCUGGCCUCAAGGAAGAUAAUGACGGUACUUGAGGAGGAAGCCCCGGCUAACUACGUGCCAGCAGCCGCGGUAAGACGUAGGGGGCUAGCGUUAUCCGGAUUUACUGGGCGUAAAGGG
RNAcentral lists this ribosomal RNA (178 nucleotides) under Clostridioides difficile. RNAcentral describes it as "partial 16S ribosomal RNA". It matches the Rfam family "Bacterial small subunit ribosomal RNA", at positions 372 to 567 of the family's 1533-position model. Lineage: Bacteria; Bacillati; Bacillota; Clostridia; Peptostreptococcales; Peptostreptococcaceae. The record is from RNAcentral.